RNAcentral lists this ribosomal RNA (737 nucleotides) under uncultured Corynebacterium sp. RNAcentral describes it as "bacterial SSU rRNA". It matches the Rfam family "Bacterial small subunit ribosomal RNA", at positions 28 to 776 of the family's 1533-position model. The record is from RNAcentral. Lineage: Bacteria; Bacillati; Actinomycetota; Actinomycetes; Mycobacteriales; Corynebacteriaceae.
GACGAACGCUGGCGGCGUGCUUAACACAUGCAAGUCGAACGGAAAGGCCUGCAGCUUGCUGCGGGUACUCGAGUGGCGAACGGGUGAGUAACACGUGGGUGAUCUGCCUUGCACCUCGGGAUAAGCUUGGGAAACUGGGUCUAAUACCGGAUAGGACAGCUGUUUAGUGUCAGUUGUGGAAAGUUUUUUCGGUGCAAGAUGAGCUCGCGGCCUAUCAGCUUGUUGGUGGGGUAAUGGCCUACCAAGGCGUCGACGGGUAGCCGGCCUGAGAGGGUGUACGGCCACAUUGGGACUGAGAUACGGCCCAGACUCCUACGGGAGGCAGCAGUGGGGAAUAUUGCACAAUGGGCGGAAGCCUGAUGCAGCGACGCCGCGUGGGGGAUGAAGGCCUUCGGGUUGUAAACUCCUUUCGACAGGGACGAAGCGUAAGUGACGGUACCUGUAUAAGAAGCACCGGCUAACUACGUGCCGGCAGCCGCGGUAAUACGUAGGGUGCGAGCGUUGUCCGGAAUUACUGGGCGUAAAGAGCUCGUAGGUGGUUUGUCGCGUCGUCUGUGAAAUUCCGGGGCUUAACUCCGGGCGUGCAGGCGAUACGGGCUGACUUGAGUGCUGUAGGGGAGACUGGAAUUCCUGGUGUAGCGGUGAAAUGCGCAGAUAUCAGGAGGAACACCGAUGGCGAAGGCAGGUCUCUGGGCAGUAACUGACGCUGAGGAGCGAAAGCAUGGGUAGCGAACAGG